AGUAAAGGAGGCCAGUGCCGUGAGGGUUAUCUCGCGGCCCCAGAUGCUGGAUAAGUUGAAGAAGGCAGAAUCGCUUUGGAUGACAUUCAGGUCUGAAUGAUGAUUUGGAGAAGAAAAGACUAUUCUUUCCAAGGUAAACAGUCCAUUUCAUCUGUC
This 156-nucleotide long non-coding RNA is filed under the name Pogona vitticeps (central bearded dragon). Its description in RNAcentral is "Rhabdomyosarcoma 2 associated transcript conserved region 8 (ENSPVIG00000015714.1)". The stretch from base 1 to 133 matches the Rfam family "Rhabdomyosarcoma 2 associated transcript conserved region 8". Lineage: Eukaryota; Metazoa; Chordata; Lepidosauria; Squamata; Agamidae. The record is from RNAcentral.